UGCCAGCCGCCGCGGUAAUACAGAGGGUGCAAGCGCUAAUCGGAAUUACUGGGCGUAAAGCGAGCGUAGGUGGCUAUAUAAGUCAGAUGUGAAAUCCCUGGGCUUAACCUAGGAACUGCAUCUGAAACUGUAUAGCUAGAGUAGAUGAGAGGGAAGUAGAAUUCCAGGUGUAGCGGUGAAAUGCGUAGAGAUCUGGAGGAAUACCGAUGGCGAAGGCAGCUUCCUGGCAUCAUACUGACACUGAGGUUCGAAAGCGUGGGUAGCAAACAGGAUUAGAUA
This 279-nucleotide ribosomal RNA is filed under the name uncultured bacterium. RNAcentral's name for it is "partial 16S ribosomal RNA". It matches the Rfam family "Bacterial small subunit ribosomal RNA", at positions 506 to 784 of the family's 1533-position model. The record is from RNAcentral.